RNAcentral lists this ribosomal RNA (2002 nucleotides) under Boreogennema borealis. Its description in RNAcentral is "SSU rRNA". It matches the Rfam family "Eukaryotic small subunit ribosomal RNA". Lineage: Eukaryota; Metazoa; Arthropoda; Malacostraca; Decapoda; Benthesicymidae. The record is from RNAcentral.
AGUCAUAUGCUUGUCUCAAAGAUUAAGCCAUGCAUGUCUAAGUACAAGCCGAUCUAAGGCUAAACCGCGGACGGCUCAUUAAAUCAGAUAUAAUUCAUUGGAUCUGUACAACCCACUUACUUGGAUAACUGUGGUAAUUCUAGAGCUAAUACAUGCCUUUAGAGACUCUGACAGCAAUGGAAGAGCGCUUUUAUUAGCACAAAACCUAUCGGACCUUGGGCCGUAUGACUUGGUGAAUCUAAAUAACUUUUGCUGAGCGCACGUCCUUCGAGACGGCGCCGCAUCUUGCAAGUGUCUGCCUUAUCAGCUCUCGAUUGUAGGUUAAACGCCUACAAUGGCUAUAACGGGUAACGGGGAAUCAGGGUUCGAUUCCGGAGAGGGAGCCUGAGAAACGGCUACCACAUCUAAGGAAGGCAGCAGGCGCGCAAAUUACCCACUCCCGGCACGGGGAGGUAGUGACGAAAAAUACUGUUGUGAGCCUCAAUCGAGGCUUCGCAAUUGGAAUGAGUACACUUUAAAUCCUUGUACGAGGAUCCAGUGGAGGGCAAGUCUGGUGCCAGCCGCCGCGGUAAUUCCAGCUCCAUUAGCGUAUAUUAAAGUUGUUGCGGUUAAAACGCUCGUAGUUGGCUCCCUGUUCUGGACUGGCGGUGCACCUUAGCGGUGCUUACUGUACAGCUCUGAGCUAUAGCCCCGCCGGCUCACGCCGGGUGCUCUUCACCGAGUGUCCCUCGUGGCCGGCACGUUUACCUUGAAAAAAUUAGAGUGCUCAGAGCAGGCUAUACUAACAGCCUGAAUGAUAGUGCAUGGUAUAAUGGAAUAGGAUCUCGGUUCUAUUUUGUAGGACUUUUCGGAACCCGAGGUAAUGAUUAAUAGAAGCAGACGGGGGUAUUCGUACUGCGACGAUAGAGGUGAAAUUCUUAGACCGUCGCAUGACGAGCUACUGCGAAAGCAUUUGCCAAGGAUGUUUUCAUUAAUCAAGAACGAAAGUUAGAGGUUCGAAGGCGAUCAGAUACCGCCCUAGUUCUAACCAUAAACGAUGCUGACUAGCGAUCCGCCACAGUUAUUCCCAUGACCUGGCGGGUAGCUUCCGGGAAACCAAAGUAUUUGAGUUCCGGGGGAAGUAUGGUUGCAAAGCUGAAACUUAAAGGAAUUGACGGAAGGGCACCACCAGGAGUGGAGCCUGCGGCUCAAUUUGACUCAACACGGGGAAUCUUACCAGGCCAGGGCACUGGAAGGAUUGACAGAUUGAAAGCUCUUUCUUGAUUCGGUGGGUGGUGGUGCAUGGCCGUUCUUAGUUGGUGGAGUGAUUUGUCUGGUUAAUUCCGAUAACGAACGAGACUCUAGCCUAUUAAAUAGUCGACGGAUCUACUCCUAUAUAUAUAUAGACCGUGAACUAAUGUCCCGAACUCCAGUUUUCUAAUACUUUUCUUUAACUGGUCAAACUCUUGGUUCAUCAUUGAUGUUCUGGGAGAUGCGAUUAAGUGGGGGAUCGCUAAAAGGCUACUGUACUCUUGGGCUUUGGACGAAUGGUGUCCAGCUCGCAUAUAUCUUCUUAGAGGGAUAAGCGGCAGCAAAAAAAAUACUAGCCGCACGAGAGAUUGAGCCAUAACAGGUCUGUGAUGCCCUUAGAUGUUCUGGGCCGCACGCGCGCUACAAUGGAGAGUUCAGCAAGCUCUCCCUGCUCCGACAGGAGUGGGUAACCUUCUUAAAGCUGUCCUUAAAGGGGAUUGGGGCUUGCAAAUAUGGCCCAUGAACGAGGAAUUCCCAGUAGGCGCAAUUCACCAGAUUGCACCGAUUUAGUCCCUGCCCUUUGUACACACCGCCCGUCGCUACUACCGAUUGAAUGGUCUAGUGAGGGCAUCGGACUGGCGCUCUUGGAGUGGUCUCUCUCAUGAUAUCCCUUUACGGGGAAGGAAGGGAGUUGGUGCCGCGCCUCGGGUCGACGGAAAGAUGUCCGAGCUGGGUCAUUUAGAGGAAGUAAAAGUCGUAACAAGGUUUCCGU